Molecule: ribosomal RNA, 216 nt
Filed under: Glomeromycotina sp.
Lineage: Eukaryota; Fungi; Glomeromycota
Description: partial small subunit ribosomal RNA
Rfam family: Eukaryotic small subunit ribosomal RNA (bases 87-216)
Source: RNAcentral
GGGUCAUUAGGUUGGUCGUGCCACCGGUACGUACUGGUCUCACUGAUUCCUCCUUCCUGAAGAACCGUAAUGCCACUAUUUUGGUGUUGCGGGGAAACAGGACUGUUACUUUGAAAAAAUUAGAGUGUUUAAAGCAAGCUAACGCUUGAAUACAUUAGCCUGGAAUAAUGAAAUAGGACGAUCGAUCCUAUUUUGUUGGUUUCUAGGAUUGACGUA